This 495-nucleotide ribosomal RNA is filed under the name uncultured bacterium. RNAcentral's name for it is "partial 16S ribosomal RNA". It matches the Rfam family "Bacterial small subunit ribosomal RNA", at positions 28 to 507 of the family's 1533-position model. The record is from RNAcentral.
GACGAACGCUGGCGGCGUGCCUAAUACAUGCAAGUCGAACGCUGAAGGAGGAGCUUGCUUCUCUGGAUGAGUUGCGAACGGGUGAGUAACGCGUAGGUAACCUGCCUGGUAGCGGGGGAUAACUAUUGGAAACGAUAGCUAAUACCGCAUAAGAGUAGAUGUCGCAUGACAUUUGCUUAAAAGGUGCAAUUUCAUCACUACCAGAUGGACCUGCGUUGUAUUAGCUAGUUGGUGAGGUAAAGGCUCACCAAGGCAACGAUACAUAGCCGACCUGGGAGGGGGAUCGGGCACAAUUGGACUGGAACAAGGGCCAGACUCCUACGGGAGGGAACAGUAGGGGAACUUUGGGAAAGGGCGGAAGGCUGAACGAAGAAAGCCGCGUGAGGGAAGGAAGUUCUCGGAUCGGAAAGAUCUGUUGUAAGAGGAGAACGAGUGGGGGAAUGGAAAGUGCACGCUGUGACGGUAUCUAACCAGAAAGGGACGGCUAACUACGUG